CUGCUACUUACACAAGGCGCUGACGGAGACUCUCGAUCAGGGUCUGCGACAAAACACUCCUUCUCAAUUCCUUCGUCCUUCCGGUUUCCUCUUCCCUUUUCCAUCGGUUUGAGUCCAGGCGAAGGUCACCGGCUGCUGGGUCAUCCACUGUCACUUACAAUUUCUUGUUUCCUGCUAGUGUGAACGAACAAAACCCUAAUAAUCUGCAGCACUGGUUCAAUUUUGUAAGAUUGGCUUGAGUAGAUUAAGGGGAUUUGGGUGUGUUAUUGCUGGAAGUGAAGUAAGGAUGUCUGAAGAAAGAAGAGUACACCCUGAUUGCAUAAAUGCUUCCAAUCCCUACCAUGAAUGCGUUGAGUAUUGCUUCAGAAAAAUAGCUGAAGCCAAGGAGUGGAUCAAGAAAGAGGAAUCAGAAGUGAGACAAGCUAUUGGUGGCGGGGAUGCUGGUGGUCCAUCACAUUCAGAUGCCCCUGAUAAGGAUCAAGAUCCUCAUGGAAAAAUACCUAACCUUGAAGAACAUGCUGAUGAGGAUAGUGAUCAUUCUGUAGAGGAUAACAUGGAACCAGACUUCACAAAACUCACAGGGAGGCAGAAAAAGUUGUUCGAGUUAAGACUUAAGAUGAAUGAAGCGAGAAAAGCUAACCAAACUGCUAUGGUUGCGGAGAAGAAAAGAAUGGAAACUCCAGAGGAGUCAAGGGGUAUUUCUAAACAAAAAUGGCUUGAAGAGAGGAAGAAGAAAAUUGGUAAGCUACUUGAUGCAAAUGGUUUGGAUAUGACAAAGGCAUAUAUGCUUGAUACAGAAGAGAUGGCAGAGGCAAAAUACAAAAAAUGGGAAAAAGAUCCUGCUCCAUUUGGUUGGGAUGUUUUCAAUCAGAAAACUCUGUAUAAUGCUUACAAAAAGCGGACAAAGAACAUAGAGUGUGAUAUUGAAGAAUAUAAUAGAAUGAAAGAAGCUGAUCCAGAGUUCUACCGUGAUGCUUCCAGCCUUCAAUAUGGAAAGACACCAAAGACCUCAGAGGAGAAGAUUGACAAGAUGGUGAAGGAGCUCCAGGACAAGGAGGAGAAGCGAAAGGCAUUUAGUAGGAGACGCAGGUUCCAUGAAGAGAAGGAUAUUGACUCCAUCAAUGAUCGGAAUGAACAUUUCAACAAGAAGAUCGAAAGAGCCUUUGGAAAAUAUACACUGGAGAUUAAGAACAACCUUGAGCGGGGAACUGCCUUGCCCGACUAAGAUUCAGAGAAGAGUGCUAUCAAUCGUUGAAGGAUGUCAAUGUUGCGCUAAAUCCUACCGUCCAUGAAAACAAAUGCAGAGGGAAAUAAAAGAGAAAACGGAUUUCAUGUGGAAACGGUGGGAAACAGGAAACAGUUUGUCUUUUACAACAAUAGUAAGGGAACCUUGGUGAUUAACAUGGUUCCAUAAUCCAGCUAUCAAGUACCCAUUUUGAGUUUGGGUGGGUACUGGAUAGUUCAAAUCUGGGCUUUUAUUUGAGUCUGUUUACAAGCAGCAUCUCACCUCCUUCCCUCCUCUCUUUAUCUUUUUUUACGUUUCCUCUGCCAGUCGAUGUGUGCACAAAAGAAAGUCCAUUAGAAGUACCAUCGUUUAUCCAUCAAGCAGAUAAUAACAGGGCCAUAACAGACAAAGUUUGGUUUUUCAAGCAAGACAUGUCAGACGUACAUAAAUUGAAUAAAGUCGGUGCACGAGACUUGUCCAUUUGCAGAGAAGAAGCAGCUUCAAGUUUGGGUCAUUGAGAUUCCCAAGCUUUUUCUUUGGCUAUGGAAGAAACUCUUUCUAUUAUUAUUCAUUGGUGGAAAUUGGGGGAUAUUGGUGAUAGCAGAGAUGGUUUUUGGUGGCUAGAGAUGGUGAAGAAGAAAGAGUGGGCAAAAUUGGCUUUUUAAAAUAUUCUAAGUCACAUGAUGUCACAUGUGAAUGGAAUAUGAGUAUGACAGAGAACUAAUGGAUGGGGGUCGCCUUGUUCUAGCCGAUCUUAGUAUAGGUGUUUUUUUAUGGAUUGCCAUUUCAAGUAUUGCUCCUAUUGGACUUCUUAUGUCAGGAUAUGGAUCGAAUAAUAAAUAUUCCUUUUCAGGUGGUC
Non-coding RNA from Nelumbo nucifera (sacred lotus), 2084 nucleotides. The record is from RefSeq and is a predicted model, not a curated record. NCBI's taxonomy places the organism in Eukaryota, Viridiplantae, Streptophyta, Magnoliopsida, Proteales, Nelumbonaceae.